This 737-nucleotide long non-coding RNA is filed under the name Phoenix dactylifera (date palm). RNAcentral's name for it is "long non-coding RNA (PDAC_LNC018379)". The record is from RNAcentral. Lineage: Eukaryota; Viridiplantae; Streptophyta; Magnoliopsida; Arecales; Arecaceae.
UUUUUUUUUGCUGGGCUUAAGAUAAAAAAACAUUUAAUGCUUUAACACACGUCAAUUAUUAAUCCUCCCAUGUCUACUGAUAGAUUUUAUUGCUGCCUAAUUGAAAAAUCCUUUUGAGGUUUGCAUAUUUGCCAAAGCUUCUAUAAACACUUGAGGCCACGAAUCAUCUAGUAAACUCCCAGUGACAAGAUAAACGAUGCUCAAUUCCCAUGUUCUUCAGCUAAUGAACAUUCUUAUGCUCCAAAAUGCUCUCUCGAUCAUCUUUUUUUUAGAAUGUUCACAACAUUAUAUUGAACCAUCCAAAGUGAGAAAUUUGUUAAUAGAUGGUACUCUAAGCCAUCCCAAAGAACCCUAGAAAACUGGUUAUUCUGAUGAACGUACCCAACCCUGACCAAGCCUGAACAAGUUCUAAGACUUUGUGAGUCGCACAUAAAAACAGAAGAAAUAACACUCUUUCAGAUCCCAUUAAUGCAGAACGAGAAAAUUAAACCUUCAUCAAUCGAUAACAGAACUCUAAUCCUUAUAAAUGCAGGAUUUAAGAUACCUGUAACCCACUUCAAAAGAGAGCACUUGCCACCAGUCGCCACCACAUCUUGCGGAACCCUAGAUCAUACAGCCCCACGAGAAAUCAAUCAGGCACAUCAAAUCGUUCGCCAGAGAAUCAAUUUUUUAGAUCAUACAUAUACCAUACCCCCAAAAUUCCUCAAAUUCUACACAAUGGCAGGCGAUCAACACAA